RNAcentral lists this ribosomal RNA (253 nucleotides) under uncultured bacterium. RNAcentral's name for it is "partial 16S ribosomal RNA". It matches the Rfam family "Bacterial small subunit ribosomal RNA", at positions 524 to 776 of the family's 1533-position model. The record is from RNAcentral.
UACGUAGGGUGCAAGCGUUAAUCGGAAUUACUGGGCGUAAAGCGUGCGCAGGCGGUUAUGCAAGACAGAUGUGAAAUCCCCGGGCUCAACCUGGGAACUGCAUUUGUGACUGCAUAGCUAGAGUACGGUAGAGGGGGAUGGAAUUCCGCGUGUAGCAGUGAAAUGCGUAGAUAUGCGGAGGAACACCGAUGGCGAAGGCAAUCCCCUGGAUCUGUACUGACGCUCAUGCACGAAAGCGUGGGGAGCAAACAGG